AGCGUAGGUUGUUGUUUAAGUGAAAUGUGAAAGCCCGUGGCUCAACUACGGAACUGCAUUUUAUACUGGACAACUAGAGUGCAGGAGGGGUAAGCGGAAUUCCUAGUGUAGCGGUGGAAUGCGUAGAUAUUAGGAAGAACACCAGAGGCGAAGGCGGCUUACUGGACUGUAACUGACACUGAGGCUCGAAAGCGUGGGGAGCAAACA
RNAcentral lists this ribosomal RNA (207 nucleotides) under uncultured bacterium. RNAcentral describes it as "partial 16S ribosomal RNA". It matches the Rfam family "Bacterial small subunit ribosomal RNA", at positions 568 to 774 of the family's 1533-position model. The record is from RNAcentral.